RNAcentral lists this ribosomal RNA (460 nucleotides) under uncultured bacterium. RNAcentral's name for it is "partial 16S ribosomal RNA". It matches the Rfam family "Bacterial small subunit ribosomal RNA", at positions 338 to 795 of the family's 1533-position model. The record is from RNAcentral.
CCUACGGGAGGCAGCAGUGAGGAAUAUUGGUCAAUGGACGAGAGUCUGAACCAGCCAAGUAGCGUGAAGGAUGACUGCCCUAUGGGUUGUAAACUUCUUUUAUAUGGGAAUAAAAUGUUCCACGUGUGGGAUUUUGUAUGUACCAUAUGAAUAAGGAUCGGCUAACUCCGUGCCAGCAGCCGCGGUAAUACGGAGGAUCCGAGCGGUAUCCGGAUUUAUUGGGUUUAAAGGGAGCGUAGGUGGAUUUUUAAGUCAGUUGUGAAAGUUUGCGGCUCAACCGUAAAAUUGCAGUUGAAACUGGCAGUCUUGAGUACAGUAGAGGUGGGCGGAAUUCGUGGUGUAGCGGUGAAAUGCUUAGAUAUCACGAAGAACUCCGAUUGCGAAGGCAGUUCACUGGACUGCAACUGACACUGAGGCUCGAAAGUGUGGGUAUCAAACAGGAUUAGAUACCCUUGUAGUC